UCUUGACGUUAGCAACAGAAGAAGCACCGGCUAACUCCGUGCCAGCAGCCGCGGUAAUACGGAGGGUGCGAGCGUUAAUCGGAAUUACUGGGCGUAAAGCGCAUGCAGGUGGUUCAUUAAGUCAGAUGUGAAAGCCCGGGGCUCAACCUCGGAACUGCAUUUGAAACUGGUGAACUAGAGUGCUGUAGAGGGGGGUAGAAUUUCAGGUGUAGCGGUGAAAUGCGUAGAGAUCUGAAGGAAUACCAGUGGCGAAGGCGGCCCCCUGGACAGAUACUGACACUCAGAUGCGAAAGCGUGGGGAGCAAACAGGAUUAGAUACCCUGGUAGUCCACGCCGUAAACGAUGUCUACUUGGAGGUUGUGGCC
Molecule: ribosomal RNA, 365 nt
Filed under: Vibrio sp. TMPB1044
Lineage: Bacteria; Pseudomonadati; Pseudomonadota; Gammaproteobacteria; Vibrionales; Vibrionaceae
Description: bacterial SSU rRNA
Rfam family: Bacterial small subunit ribosomal RNA
Source: RNAcentral